UACGUAGGGCGCAAGCGUUGUCCGGAAUUAUUGGGCGGAAAGAGCUCGUAGGCGGUCUGUCGCGUCCGUUGUGAAAACUCGAGGCUCAACCUCGGGCUUGCAGUGGAUACGGGCAGACUAGAGUGCGGUAGGGGAGACUGGAAUUCCUGGUGUAGCGGUGGAAUGCGCAGAUAUCAGGAGGAACACCGAUGGCGAAGGCAGGUCUCUGGGCCGCAACUGACGCUGAGGAGCGAAAGCAUGGGGAGCGAACAGG
This 253-nucleotide ribosomal RNA is filed under the name uncultured bacterium. Its description in RNAcentral is "partial 16S ribosomal RNA". It matches the Rfam family "Bacterial small subunit ribosomal RNA", at positions 524 to 776 of the family's 1533-position model. The record is from RNAcentral.